GUAAAGGUUCAAAAAGCAACUAGACAAACUUUAAACCAAGUAAGACAUAUUAAGCUGAAAUUAUUGCUUUAUUCAUGCGUGUUCUGUGGUUAAACAUUGCCGUAAUUUAUGGCUGCUUUUCAUGUGCAUUAUUGUGUGGAUUUGGUUAGAUGAGCAGCUGCCAAAGGGCCACUGUUAACUGAGUAAAUACAAACAGAAGGAACCAUUCUCAGUGUAAGUCAUGAACUAGGUCACAUUGCGAGAUAAAGAACUUUAAUGACAGAUGAAUCUGAGAGGCCAGGUAACAUGAAGACCAGUCUGUUGGAUGCAACUCAAGAUAAUGUGCUAAUCCACUGAAGUGCUGUGUCAGAUCUCACUGACCGGCGUGUAAAAUGAGGAGUUUGACUGAUAGCUGAUCUUUGGAAGCCUGGGUUCCUAAGGUUCAACAGUCUCUGGUGAAGCAGAUAUAUUCCAUUGUAUUUGGAAAAAACAGGAAGUGAAUUUCUGAAGAAACUGAUUAGCAAAACAGGCAUGAUUCAUAAAGACAGAUUUGGAGCAUCUGUUAGGUCUAGCUCCAAAUUAAAGUUACUAGGAUCACCUGGAAAAGUAAACAUACUCUAUUAUCACAAAGGCAUCCAAUUGUUAUAGUCCCUAUUUAGAAUCAAUAAUUAAUGGAAUAAAGGUAAAGUGCCACACUGUAUUAAUUGAAAUUGUUAAAAGCCAUUUCUGUGCAACUAGUGCGGAAUUGCAAAAAUAAUGACCAUUGGUUGAGCUGAUGUUGGUCAGUAUGUUUUUACAUAUUCCAGAGGAAUCAGCAAACCAGUGGCUUUUAACAUUAUUAAAAUUGCACACUCCACUUUUAUUAUUUGGUUGUUAAGUCAGACGUCAUGUGUCACAGUUUCUGGGUCCAAACCAUACAGUCUAUGGUCCAAACGCUUCUUUAGACGCCAAAAAGCAAACAACAAACAAUGAUAAUAAGCACUCAGUGUGUGCUGCAGUCCUACUGAAAAUCAUUAACCUAAUUUUUAUAUCCAGACCCCAAUCUAAGUAGGCUACAUAGUGAUUAUUGUUUAAAAAAAUAAUAA
Long non-coding RNA from Cyprinus carpio carpio, 1064 nucleotides. The record is from Ensembl. NCBI's taxonomy places the organism in Eukaryota, Metazoa, Chordata, Actinopteri, Cypriniformes, Cyprinidae.